Capsicum annuum is the source of this 4163-nucleotide long non-coding RNA. RefSeq lists it as uncharacterized. The transcript has 8 exons. The record is from RefSeq and is a predicted model, not a curated record. NCBI's taxonomy places the organism in Eukaryota, Viridiplantae, Streptophyta, Magnoliopsida, Solanales, Solanaceae.
AUAAAAAUCUUAAAACAGGAUGACGUUAUUCUCAAUUUUAAUGUCCCAUUUUGAAGAGAAAUGUUAGGGUUUAUUCUCAUCGGUGUUGGUGAAAAUUGAAGCAUCGGUGUUCUCAUCGAUUGUUACCCUUUUGCUUCUCUAAAGUACAAUUAGAGUCACUGGGCCGAUCCUUUUGAGAUCUGUGUUUAAUAAAGGUUGAUUUGGUUCCAGUUUUGGUGGUUAUCAAUUGGCUUAAAUCCACACUAAGUUAGAGUCUUCACUGAAGCAGUCCUUAGAGGACUCUGCAGCUUCGUACCGACUGAGGAGUUUUAUUCGCAUCUUGUAAUUGAUACAGCCCCACUAUCCUCCAACUGUAUACCGAUACUUUCAGCACCAUCCAAAUCUGAUAUGAUGUUGACAAAGAUGAAAUUGGAGAGACAGUUGCUACAUUCUCUUCAAGUCAGAGCCUUUUCAGUAUUUUCCCUGCAAAGGAUAAACAACAGGUGGAUCACAAGGAACCAUUACAAGCUGUUGUACAUGGUCAUUUUAGGGCUCUCGUCUUACAGCUAUUGCAAGGAGAAUUAUACAUUUUGGGAAAGAAAGCAUUGCUGAUGGCUGGCUUGACAUAGUUACAUCACUAGCAUCGCAAGCUGCAAAUUAUCUGAAGCCCAAUACUAGUAAAGGAGGCAACAUGGAUUCAGUUGAUUAGGUUAAGGUUAAGUGCAUAGCUUCAGGAAGCCGAAGUAAAAGCACCCUUGUUAAAGGAUUAAUUUGUACUAAGAAUGUCAAACACAUGCGCAUGACUUCACAGCACAAAUGCCCGAUUACUUAUCUUAGGAGGAGCACUUGAGUACCAAAGAGUUGCCAAUCAGUUGGCAUCUUAUGACAUCUUAUUGCAACAGGAAAAGGAGCAACUCAAGAUGAUCGUUUAAAGAAUAGAGGCUCAUCAUCCUAAUGUGCUACUUGUGGAGGAAAGUGUUUUCAUAUGCCCAGGAGCUUGUAUUGGCAAAAGGAUCUCUUUGGUGUUAAACAUUAAGGCUCCACUGCUAGAGCGAGUAUCCAGGUGUAUUGGUGCGGUCUAAUAACCCCAUCCAUUGAUAACAUAGACACAACAAAAUUGGGACACUAUGAACUCUUUCAAUUAGAAAAGGUCUCUGAAGAGAAUGAACAUGCCAACCAGUUGAACAAGAAGCCAUCAAAAUCUCUAAAUGAUUGUCCAAGGCAUUUAGGUCUUGUUGAGGGGAUCAUGUCGUGAAGAGCUCAAGAAGCUGAAGAGGGUUGUUUAUCAGAUGCUAUGUGCUCCAUUAUAGAGCUCAAUUGGAAGGCUUAAUGACAUUAUUGCUGUAUCUCUUUAGCUUAUAUGCACUGUUACUCCUACCUCAAGCAAUAUGGAAGAAUCACAUAAUAUGUUAAAGUUUGCAAGCAAGGCUAAGCAUGUCGAGAUUUAUGCAUCUCGCAUCAAGAUUAUUGAUGAGAAAUUACUGAUCAAGAAAUAUUAAAAAGAGAUAUCUUCUCUCAAGCAAGAGCUUGUUCAUCUAAUAAGGGGAAUGCUUGUAGGAGUCAAUCAUGAUGAAAUUAUAACCUUGAAACAACAGGUAUGUACUCUGUCCGUUUAACUUUAUAUGACGGAGUUUGUCUCAUCAAAUAGUUUAAGAAAGAUGAGAGACUUUUGACGCAUAAGCUAAAACCAUUAACAUCCCCAAAAUACCUUUGUAUCUUGUGGUCAAAGAGUUUAUGUCCAUUCUACAAUAGCACGUCAUUAAGGGAAAAAUGACAAUUUUAAAUUAAUGAUUUUCAAUAAUGAAAAAGUGUCAAUUGUCUUGGAAUGGACCAGAAAAGAGAGAUUUGAAUGUUUAGUGGCUCGAUCAUAGGGUGUAAUUGGUUAUGUUAUGUUAUUUAUUAACAAUCUUUUCAAAGUUGGAAGAGGGACAAGUGAAGAUACAGUCAAGGUUGGAAGAGGAGAAGGAUGCCAAGGCUGCUCUACUGAGCCGGAUACAGAAGCUAACUUAAUUGAUCCUUGUUUCUUCGAAGAAUUCAAUUACUGAGAGUCGGUUUUCUUCUAAAGAUGAUGCAAACUUCCCUCUCUAUUUAUCUUAGAGUUCUGUUUCUAUUUCCUAUUAUUUGCCCACUAGAACUCUAGGUAAUCAUUUCUGAAUUUGGAUUUUAGGGACAUCCGAUGUGUUUGCUAUUUGCAAGACUUUUUCCUCCUCCUUUAAGUUGCUUUGCGUGUUGAAAAUGUUUAUUUAUUAGAACUGCUCUCCUUAUCAUCUAUAUAGGGAUUUUAAGACUGGGACUCUCUUUCAAGAGCCUAAAUUAAGUUUUUGUUGUUUCUGUUGCAUUCUAUUACUAUUUUGUAUCCAAUUUUCUGGCAUCUACCCUGAGCAACAACAACAACAACAUACCCAGUGUAGUCUCACAAGUAGGGUCUUGGAAGGGUGGAGUGUACGCAUAUAGUGAUAUAGAAUCAUCUUUUAUUUUCACCUUCAAGGAUAAGAUCUAUUUCCUAAAUUAAUCUUUUUAUUUUUCACCCUUUGCAUUAGAAAUUGAAUGGUUCUGUGCCCAUAGACAGCAAGAUCCAAAGAGAUGCUUCAUCAGAGACUUCUGAUUUCAACCACGAAAGAUCUUCUAGCAAGUUGAAUGAUGAUAUCUCAAAAGCUUGCAGUGUGAUUAUCGACUCAAGUCAGGCUGGUUAAAUUGUCAAUUGUUUAGGGCUUUCGAUUGUAUGUUUCCUCCUUCUUAAGACCUUCUAAAGGAGGAGACUUCUUAAUUUGAAAUUAUAUUUUGAUCCACCUGUAGUUUAAUGUUUACUCUGAUAGCAAAGGUCCUUGUCCUUGCAUGGAGUUUGAAUUUUUGAUAUUUAUAUGUUAGUUUCAAGUAAUGAAUUUUCAAACUUUCUUGGAUACUUACAUUGGAUUAUGUUCACAAGUUAUCUUUGGAUUGACUCAAUUGAGAAGUUAUUACUUUUCUUUCAAAUCUAGUCUUUUGCAUUAGUACUUUUUCUUUCAGAUGACUACUUUUUAUGUAAUGUAUAUUUUCCAUUACAUAUCAAAUGGCAAUUCCUUCAACUUUUAAUAUUUUGUUUGUCUUUCUUGUUGAACAUAGGGAGCGGUUUCAUUGUCAGUUCAGAUGGACCUCCUCGUUGAGCAAGUCAAGAUGCUUGCUGGAGAGAUUUCACUUAGUAUGAGUACAUUGAAACGAAUGAUAGAGCAGUCUGUAAAUGAUCAUGAGAAUUCAAAAACUCAUUCUGAAGUAAGCUUUAUUUUUUAUUUGUGGGUUGAAUACUUCAUACAUAUGAUGGUUAAAACUAUGAUAUCUAUAAGAAAAAACCUCUCUACUUCCGCAAAUAUGAGGGUAAGGUCUGCAUAUACUCUACCCUCCCCGGACCCCACUUGUUGGAUUACAAUGGGUUUGUUGUUGGACUGAAUCCUUCUUCAACAUAGGAUGGUUAAUAAUACAAUGAUGCGUGUAUGGUUGCUAAAGCAACAUAUUGGGUCUCUCUUUAAUAUUAUGCUGCUAUAGUUUGCAGUCAACAAUCUUCUCUCAAAUUUAUAAACAUUUAGAUAUAUAUUGUUUGAAUUCCAAUAAAAUUAUAUUUGAUGUUUCCUCGAAAAAUGGCAUUGUGUUAGUAUAUUUUCUAGCUUGUGAAACUUGAUUCACUUCAACAUCUUCAGUGUACUUUCUUUUUCUCUCAAUUCUUUUCCGAUUGAGAUGUAUAGAUCCUGUUCAUGGAUUAAUGAAAAAAUUCCUAGACAUGUUAAUCCUUGAUUAAUGUGUGUGAUUUUAUUGUUAGGCUAUUGCAUUUGUUUGAUUUUCAUGAAAACAACUUAUUGUUUGAACUUUUGUACAUAGCUGUCACCUGUUUUUAAGAUCUUCACCCACCGUAUGCCUAAUCUUGUAACGGAUUCAGUGUUUGUUGUUUUUAUGAUCUUCACCCACCGUAUGCCUAAUUUUUUGUUUCAUUAUAAAUGUGUAGGAUCAAUGCAGGGAUCAAAUUUGAAUGAUGGACGCUACAACACAACUUAUCUAGAUUAAAGUGAAUGAUGAAUUUUCGAAAUAUUUUGAUAUACUUUUAUAUACAUUGGGUUUUGUGUGGAACUUGGUACAAAUUUUUAUAAUGUUGUUUUCUAAUUAGUAUGUAAAAGAAAUGUUAUUUUGAAAUCAGAUCUAUGCAUUUCAAUUAUUAA